Delphinapterus leucas (beluga whale) is the source of this 1002-nucleotide long non-coding RNA. RefSeq lists it as uncharacterized. The record is from RefSeq and is a predicted model, not a curated record. NCBI's taxonomy places the organism in Eukaryota, Metazoa, Chordata, Mammalia, Artiodactyla, Monodontidae.
UUCAGCCGGGGAAAUAUUUGUGAAACCCUCAAAAUAUUCAUAAAGGAUUGGUUUUGUUCAUUCUGCAACAUUGUGAUUGAAAGAGCUUUGGAGUUAGACAGAUUUGGUCCUUGGCUUGUAGGAUUUUAGUUCCCUGACCAGAGAUUGAACCUGGGCCCUCGGCAGUGAGAGUGUGAAGUCCUAACCACUGGACCACCAAGGAAUUCCCAGAUUUCUAUUUUAAAAGCAUCCCUUGGGUACCAAGUGCAUAAGACUGAUGCCCCAGCUCCCAGCUGAGACCUAAACUCCAAAUUGUGGCAUACAUCAUCAGACCAGGCACCAGACCAAAGACUUCCUGCCCCACAGCAAACCGCAGGUGUUCAGGAACAUGAGGGGGGUAGAUCAUCUCGACCUGAGUAUCUUUGACUGUGGGAGGAUACAUUUCACCACCAAUUAUCUAAAAAAUAACAGUAACAAAAGAGCUGGUCCUCGCUUAUGAUCUGUCUUGAAAAAUUGAUGGGUGAAGUGCUGGGCAAAGAACGCAAACAUCAUAUUUGUGCCCUGGGGAUCAGGGAUGAACUUUCUUCUUAGAAGUACUUUUUCCACAACUUCUUUUGAAUCAGGAAGCUCUUUCCUCCCUGAAAAAUGAGAAAGCCUAAGAAGACAGUGUGGUCCAGCCAUCUUGAUUUUUCAAAUAACCAUCCACUUACUGCUGAAGAGGCCUAUGAGGAAUGUCUGGGCUUGACACUCACUUUGGAAAUAAAGAACUCAAAGCUGUUGAAAGAUCUGGACAAAGAACAUUCCAAGUUGAGAGGAAAACUAGUGAAAAGGCCCUGAGGCGUGUUUGAGAGAGUGUGGCAGAAGCAAAGCUAGGAGGAGAGGUGGAAGGUGAGUUCAGAAAAGGCAAAGGCAGAUCAUGUGGGUCUUAUGGGAAUUUGGGUUUUAUUCCGUGUCAAGGGAAAUCAUUGAAUGGCUUACAGUAUUAAAGUGGCAUGACUUAAUUUACAUUAAACAAAAACAAAA